RNAcentral lists this ribosomal RNA (2274 nucleotides) under Triticum aestivum (bread wheat). RNAcentral describes it as "partial small subunit ribosomal RNA". The record is from RNAcentral. Lineage: Eukaryota; Viridiplantae; Streptophyta; Magnoliopsida; Poales; Poaceae.
AUGGAAGGUAUGUCAAUGGAGAUCGUUCCGGCGACCGGCGAAACGGAAGGUAUGUCAAUGGAGAUCGUUCCCGCGACAGGCGAAAGGGAAGAUAUGAUGGAUGCAACCCCUGGUGAAAUGGAAGGUAUGCCAAUGGAGGACUCCUUGAUCGAUGGCAACAGGUAUAUGAGCUGGUCUUCUGUGUUUCGUUGUUCCUUUGUUCGCCCGGCCGGCCGGCCGACGUCUUCCGAGUACAACGAAUACGGCCGGCGGCGAUUGUUGUACCAACUAUUUUUUGUAUACCACGUCAAGGUUGUGGUAGAAAAUGAAGAAGAAUUACUUGAUCUCCCACCUGAAUACGCGGAUCCAGCGAUCCUUGUUCCUAAGGGAAAAAAUCCUAAGACAAAAAAACCUUCAGUACGUGUUGGUUGUGGCGCUAUGUUGAGGAUUAAUAGACCAACUGGUGAGGGGUCGUGGACAGUGACUAAGUUUGUAGAGGACCAUAACCAUGAGCUUAAGGAGACAAUUGGUGUGACUAAGAAUUACAAGUCACAUAAUCAAAUUGAUGAGGGGACUAGACAUGUCAUUGCCGACAUGGUGGAUAGCGGUAUGAGGUCGACCAACAUGUAUGGUUUAUUGUCAGGGUUUUGUGGAGGAGCUUCAAUGGUCCCGUUCUCACGUAGGAUGAUGGACAGACUAGCUUAUGCUAUCAAGAGGGAUGAGUGCAGUGAAGAUGUAGAGCUGACCCUUGAUCUUUUCAAAGAGUUGCAGAGCAAUUCCAGCAAUUUUUUCUAUAGUGUGCAAGUUGACAAGGCAUGCCGUGUGAAGAAUAUAUUCUGGUCUCAUGCUGUAUCGAGGAGGAAUUUUCAGGCCUUUGGUGAUGUUGUGACGUUUGAUACUACAUAUAAGACUAAUAGUUACAACAUGCCAUUUGCUCCGUUUGAAGUGCAUGAAUGGAAAGGAGCCGCAGUGCAUACUUACCGCACUAGAGAAACAUUCAAAGAAGACUUUCACAAGGUGUUAACUCAGAUGUUGACAGUAGAUGAGUUUGAGGGGGCAUGGAAGGAAUUAAUUUCCGAGUAUAAGCUGGAAGAUUGUGUGUAUCUGAAGCAGAUGUGGGAUAUCAGGGAAAAGUGGGCAUUCCCUUAUUUUGGGCACUUGUUCUAUGCUGGAAUGACAACUACACAGAGGAGCGAGUCAGUUAAUUAUGUCUUGAAAAGGUUUGUCAUGCCGGCCUCUUCGAUGAAUGGUUUCGUAAAGAAGUAUGAGAGAUUCUUCAUAGACAGAUUACAGAUGGAAGAUUAUGAGGAAUUUCAUACUAAACAUGACAAAGUUGUUAUGAAGACUAGAUCACCAUUGGAAAGACAUGCUUCAAAGGUAUAUACUCGUGGUGUAUUCAACUUAUUUGUGGAUCAGCUAUCGAAAAGUUUGUCCUUCAAGGUCGUCGCCACUGAUGAGGAGAGUGUUUUUAAAAUAGUACGUAUUGGGGGUUUUGCUCGGAACAUCUGGCGACGGCACCAUUAUGAAGUGUAUGCAGACCUUGAAAGCAUGACAUUUUCGUGUGUAUGUAAGAUGUUUGAGCACAAGGGUAUACUGUGUUGUUAUGUGCUUAGUGUCCUGAUACAUGAUGGCUGUGCUGAGAUCCCAGAGCAGUAUGUCUUGAAGCGAUGGAGGAAGGAUGCUAGAGACUGUGUGCCUUCAUUCCUGGAGGGUUACAAAGAUGAUGUCGAUGCCGCUGCUUCACAGACGUACAGACAUCUGGUGCUCCAUACAACAUCAGAGGAGGUAACUCGUCUUGGUAACAAAUACAUGAAGGCUUACAAGGUUGCCAUGGAAGACCUAUCUCAAUUGGUGGAAAAACUUAGAAAGGUCUGCCUGGAGGAAGAGCAGGCUAAUCUGGAAGGGGCAGAAGUUCAGGGUGAGGGACAUAAUCAGACGCAUGAUCCUACAAUAGCUGAUGGUGAUAGAACCUCAAGAGAAGGAGAUAGUACUCCCCAUGUCCAUGAAGUCAGUGAAGGCCCAUUCGAGGAAGGGGUGAGUAUGGAAGAUAUUUUGCCACCUAUAAAGAAUCGUCCGAGAGGCAGGCCAAAAACUACAAGAUGGAAAACUGGUGGGGAAGCAGCUAGUACAAAGAAGAGUGGUAAGAAAGUGGGUGGCAGUAGUGAUAGCACAAAGCAAGGUGGCAAUGCUUCUGGGAAGAAAGAGUCUGACAUCAUUAGGUAUUGUGGAGACUGUGGUGACCCGGGACAUAAUAAGUCUACAUGUGGGAAGCCGUCCACGUACAAGAGGAAAUAG